Molecule: non-coding RNA, 23 nt
Filed under: Cricetulus griseus (Chinese hamster)
Lineage: Eukaryota; Metazoa; Chordata; Mammalia; Rodentia; Cricetidae
Source: RNAcentral
UAAAGAACGUGUCUGUCAAAGAU